GACGAACGCUGGCGGCAUGCCUAAUACAUGCAAGUCGAGCGAACGGAUGAAGUGCUUGCACUUCUGACGUUAGCGGCGAACGGGUGAGUAACACGUAAGGAAUCUACCUAUAAGCGGGGGAUAACAUUCGGAAACGGGUGCUAAUACCGCAUAAUAUCUUCUUCCGCAUGGAAGAAGAUUGAAAGACGGCUCUGCUGUCACUUAUAGAUGACCUUGCGGUGCAUUAGUUAGUUGGUGGGGUAAUGGCCUACCAAGACGAUGAUGCAUAGCCGACCUGAGAGGGUGAUCGGCCACAUUGGGCCUGAGACACGGCCCAAACUCCUACGGGAGGCAGCAGUAGGGAAUCUUCCGCAAUGGGCGAAAGCCUGACGGAGCAAUGCCGCGUGAGUGAAGAAGGCCUUCGGGUCGUAAAACUCUGCUAUAAGAGAAGAACAAAUUGUAGAGUAACUGCUACAGUCUUGACGGUAUCUUAUCAGAAAGCCACGGCUAACUACGUGCCAGCAGCCGCGGUAA
This 513-nucleotide ribosomal RNA is filed under the name uncultured bacterium. RNAcentral describes it as "partial 16S ribosomal RNA". It matches the Rfam family "Bacterial small subunit ribosomal RNA", at positions 28 to 523 of the family's 1533-position model. The record is from RNAcentral.